Molecule: ribosomal RNA, 254 nt
Filed under: uncultured bacterium
Lineage: Bacteria
Description: partial 16S ribosomal RNA
Rfam family: Bacterial small subunit ribosomal RNA
Source: RNAcentral
AACGUAGGACGCAAGCGUUAUCCGGAGUUACUGGGCGUAAAGGGCAGGCAGGCGGGUCGAUAAGUCGGAUGUGAAAUCUCCCUGGCUUAACCGGGAGAGUGCAUUUGAGACUGUCAACCUGGAGGGCAGCAGAGGAGCGUGGAAUUCCGGGUGGAGUGGUGAAAUGCGUAGAGAUCCGGAGGAACACCAGUGGCGAAGGCGACACGCCGGGCCGUACCUGACACUGAUGCGCGACAGCAUGGGGAGCAAACAGG